UGGGGAAUAUUGCACAAUGGGCGAAAGCCUGAUGCAGCGACGCCGCGUGAGUGAAGAAGUAUUUCGGUAUGUAAAGCUCUAUCAGCAGGGAAGAAAAUGACGGUACCUGACUAAGAAGCCCCGGCUAACUACGUGCCAGCAGCCGCGGUAAUACGUAGGGGGCAAGCGUUAUCCGGAUUUACUGGGUGUAAAGGGAGCGCAGACGGCACUGCAAGUCUGAAGUGAAAGCCCGGGGCUCAACCCCGGGACUGCUUUGGAAACUGUAGGGCUAGAGUGCUGGAGAGGCAAGCGGAAUUCCUAGUGUAGCGGUGAAAUGCGUAGAUAUUAGGAAGAACACCAGUGGCGAAGGCGGCUUGCUGGACAGUAACUGACGUUCAGGCUCGAAAGCGUGGGGAGCAAACAGG
This 404-nucleotide ribosomal RNA is filed under the name uncultured bacterium. Its description in RNAcentral is "bacterial SSU rRNA". It matches the Rfam family "Bacterial small subunit ribosomal RNA", at positions 355 to 776 of the family's 1533-position model. The record is from RNAcentral.